This 440-nucleotide ribosomal RNA is filed under the name uncultured bacterium. RNAcentral's name for it is "partial 16S ribosomal RNA". It matches the Rfam family "Bacterial small subunit ribosomal RNA", at positions 338 to 795 of the family's 1533-position model. The record is from RNAcentral.
CCUACGGGUGGCAGCAGUGGGGGAUAUUGCACAAUGGGGGAAACCCUGAUGCAGCGAAGCCGCGUGAGUGAAGAAGUAUUUCGGUAUGUAAAGCUCUAUCAGCAGGGAAGAAAAUGACAGUACCUGACCAAGAAGCCACGGCUAACUACGUGCCAGCAGCCGCGGUAAUACGUAGGGGGCAAGCGUUAUCCGGAUUUACUGGGUGUAAAGGGAGCGUAGACGGUUAGUUAAGUCUGGAGUGAAAGCCCGGGGCCCAACCCCGAGACUGCUGUGGAAACUGUGUGACUGGAGUGCAGGAGGGGCAGGCGGAAUGCCUGGUGUAGCGGUGAAAUGCAUAGAUAUCAGGAGGAACACCGGCGGCGAAGGCGGCCUGCUGGACUGAAACUGACGUUGAGGCUCGAAAGCGUGGGGAGCAAACAGGAUUAGAUACCCGGGUAGUC